UACGUAGGGUGCAAGCGUUAAUCGGAAUUACUGGGCGUAAAGCGUGCGCAGGCGGUUGUGUAAGACAGAUGUGAAAUCCCCGGGCUCAACCUGGGAACUGCAUUUGUGACUGCACAGCUGGAGUGCGGCAGAGGGGGAUGGAAUUCCGCGUGUAGCAGUGAAAUGCGUAGAGAUGUGGAGGAACACCGAUGGCGAAGGCAGCCUCCUGGGCCAGCACUGACGCUCAUGCACGAAAGCGUGGGGAGCAAACAGG
Molecule: ribosomal RNA, 253 nt
Filed under: uncultured bacterium
Lineage: Bacteria
Description: partial 16S ribosomal RNA
Rfam family: Bacterial small subunit ribosomal RNA
Source: RNAcentral